RNAcentral lists this unclassified non-coding RNA (321 nucleotides) under Prismatomeris griffithii. Its description in RNAcentral is "partial external transcribed spacer". The record is from RNAcentral. Lineage: Eukaryota; Viridiplantae; Streptophyta; Magnoliopsida; Gentianales; Rubiaceae.
UUGGAUCAUUGCUCGGGCAACGACGUCCUCCCGCUCAUUCCGCUUCAAUCGUUGGCACGAGAGCGACUUUCGCCCCGGCCGUGCUCAUUGGUUUCCUGUGUUGCAUACCAACGUCGAUGGAAUUCGCAAGCCAAUUCUUCCCUCGUUCGCCUAGCGUUGCCCGCUUGCGCGGUGCGGCUUUCGGGUGAACCUCGAAGCGAAACCCGUACUCUUCGUCGCUCACGCACGGCGUCGUCGUCGAGGCGCACGGGUUCUCGUUUGACCUCCGGGAUGCGGAAAACGUCGGGGGCACGGGGUCUUGCACCUCUAUUCGCCCACAAA